UGCCCCUUAUGUCCUGGGCUACACACGUAAUACAAUGGCGUCCAACAACGGGAAGCAAAACCGCGAGGUAGAGCAAAUCCCCAAAAGACGUCUCAGUUCGGAUUGCAGGCUGCAACUCGCCUGCAUGAAGUCGGAAUUGCUAGUAAUCGCGGAUCAGCAUGCCGCGGUGAAUACGUUCCCGGGCCUUGUACACACCGCCCGUCACACCAUGAGAGCCGGGAACACCCGAAGUCCGUAGUCUAACCGCAAGGAGGACGCGGCCGAAGGUGGGUUUGGUAAUUGGGGUGAAGUCGUAACAAGGUAGCCGUUCGAGAACGAGCGGCUGGAUCACCUCCUUU
This 338-nucleotide ribosomal RNA is filed under the name gut metagenome. RNAcentral describes it as "bacterial SSU rRNA". It matches the Rfam family "Bacterial small subunit ribosomal RNA", at positions 1196 to 1533 of the family's 1533-position model. The record is from RNAcentral.